AAUUAGAAGAGUUGCAAGUGUAAAUCCUGCCCAUCUGGCAAUAUAUGCAGGCUAAAGCAAUUGCUAAAAGUAUUUGAAAGAUUUCCAAUAGUAUUUAAACCUACCAGAUCUGCAUCUCGCCACCCCGCUUACUUGCCACAAUCAAUCUUUUAGGUUCUAGGACCCAGAGCUUUAGGCAAUCAGUCUUUUAGGUUCUAGAACCCAGAGCUUUAGGCAAUCAGUCUUUUAGGUUCUAGAACCCAGAGCUUUAGGCAAUCAGACUUUUAGGUUCUAGAACCCAGAAUCUUGGGCAAUCAAUCUUUUAGGUUCUAGAACCCAGAAUCUUGGACAAUCAAUCUUUUAGGUUCUAGAACCCAGAGCUUUAGGCAAUAAGUCUGUUUUUGAGCUCUAGUUGUAGACUGGUCUCAGAUCUGUUUGUGCUGUCUUACCAACUAGAACAGCUCCCGAGUCAAGUCCAAUGGUACAUUGGUUCUCUGUACUGCGUUCAUAGCACACCAAGGCACAGGACAGACACGCACAUUGCUACAACGUUGAUUUAAAAUGAAUAGACAUUGAUUGAUAGCCAGAACAUUAUGUCAAGACAGCAGGCAUACGGAAUACUCUAUAGGGUUGCACAUUUUCCUUAACUUUCCCAAAAUUCCCCGGUUUUCCAGAAAUCUUGGUUGAAAGACUCUUGGAAUAAGGAGGAAAUCAAGGAAUCCGUCAACCAGGAUUUCUGGAAAACCGGGGAAUUUGGGAAAGUUACCACGAUUAAUACAGUAUCAUUUAUCAUUUGAAAACAUUGAUUUUGUGAAUAAUACUAUAUACCUCAAUUAAUCUAAUAUCGACAGUAAAUUUCCUUUGAUAUUUUUCUUACCAUUUCCAGUUGUAUUCAUAAAACGUUUGAGGUAUAUGUAUGAUAAUCGGCCCGUAGCAUUGUCACUUGCUUGUUCUAUCCAAACGGUCUCCUUGCUCCCUGUGCGCCUCUGACACAUGUACUGGAGCCCCUGAAGUGCUGGAGCAUGUCCAUGUCACAUAAACAACAAAAGCCGGUGAGUGCAUUGCUGACGUUGUUUUUUGCUUGAGACGUAAAGGUCUGCUCUCUCAGUGAUUAUAUUUUGUGCGGAUAAUCGGCCCGUAGCAUCCAAACGGUGCCGUCCCUUCCUCUCCGCUGUCUCACCGUUUCAGUUGGUGGCACAGGCACCUGCUCAGUGCGCACUGUUCUGGCUUUUUUGCAGUUAAGCCUCGGGGGUGUAGGUUCAGGAUGAGGCUUAGUCCUCGGGGGUGUAGGUUCAGGAUGAGGCUUAGUCCUCGGAGGUGUAGGUUCAGGAUGAGUCUUAGGCCUCGGAGGUGUAGGUUCAGGAUGAGGCUUAGUCCUCGGGGGUGUAGGUUCAGGAUGAGGCUUAGUCCUCGGGGGUGUAGGUUCAGGAUGAGGCUUAGUCCUCGGGGGUGUAGGUUCAGGACGAGGCUUAGUCCUCGGGGGUGUAGGUUCAGGAUGAGGCUUAGUCCUCGGAGGUGUAGGUUCAGGAUGAGUCUUAGGCCUCGGAGGUGUAGGUUCAGGAUGAGGCUUAGUCCUCGGGGGUGUAGUGGUCCCAUGGUGUUUAUGUUUGCAUACUAUUGUUUGUACAGAUGAACGUGGCACCUUCAGGCAUUUGGAAAUUGCUCCCAAGGAUGAACCAGACUUGUGGAGGUCUACAAUUUAUUUUCUGAGGUCUUGGCUGAUUUCUUUAGAUUUUACCAUAAUGUCAAGCAAAGAGGCACUGAGUUUGAAGGUAGGCCUUGAAAUACAUCCACAGGUACACCUCCAAUUGACUCAAAUGAUAUCAAUUAGCCUAUCAGAAGCUUCUAAAGCCAUGACAUCAUUAUCUGGCAUUUUCCAAGCUGUUUAUAGGCACAGUCAACUUAGUGUAUGUAAACUUCUGACCCACUGGAAUUGUAAUACAGUGAAUUAUAAGUGAAAUAAUCUGUCUGUAAACAAUUGUUGGAAAAAUUACUUGUGUCGUGCACCAAGUAGAUGUCCUAAUCGACUUGCCAAAACUAUAGUUUGUUCACAAGAAAUUUGUGGAGUGGUUGAAAAACGAGUUUUAAGGACUCCAACCUAAGUGUAUGUAAACUUCCGACUUCAACUGUAUGUGUGAAAUUAGAUUUGGUACUGUUUAGGUUAAGUUUUGAGGCAAUUAUCGGGGUGAUUAUCAACUGGGCUCGGCACCUUCCACUGAAGUAGCGGAGCAGGUCCUACUGUAGUGAGAAGGAGGGGAGCAGGCCCUACUGUCGGGAGAAGGAAGGGAGCAGGCCCUACUGUCGGGAGAAGGAAGGGAGCAGGCCCUACUGUCGGGAGAAGGAAGGGAGCAGGCCCUACUGUCGGGAGAAGGAAGGA
Oncorhynchus tshawytscha (Chinook salmon) is the source of this 2356-nucleotide long non-coding RNA. Lineage: Eukaryota; Metazoa; Chordata; Actinopteri; Salmoniformes; Salmonidae. The record is from Ensembl.